Corvus hawaiiensis (hawaiian crow) is the source of this 962-nucleotide long non-coding RNA. RefSeq lists it as uncharacterized. The transcript is spliced from 3 exons. The record is from RefSeq and is a predicted model, not a curated record. NCBI's taxonomy places the organism in Eukaryota, Metazoa, Chordata, Aves, Passeriformes, Corvidae.
CUGCAGCAGCUGCAGCCCCGGUGUCCCUGGAGCGGUGGGAGCUGCCGGUGGCCGCAGGCACUGUGCCCUGAGGAGCUGCUGGAGGACGCUGCCCUGAAGACCUUGAGAAGAGCGGGAGAGUGACGAGAACCAGCAGGGAGAAGCGGAAGGCCACAGCAAGAGCAGCGAAUAUGGACCUGCUGCUGCCGCCCGAGACCCUGGGUGUCCCAUCUGCUGUCCCCGUCCAGGAGAGCUGCUCUGCACGGGAGGAAGAGACCGAGGGAGAGCCUGGGAACAUCGGCGGCUGCAAUCCCUCCUGAUUUAAUUCUGUUUAUAGAUGUGUGGAGUAUGACUAAGAGAGUUAGAAGAAUGGGGAUAUUUCCAUCUGUAUAUCUAUUUGUAUGGGUAUAUUGAUGCAUGUAUAUCGAUCUGUUUACAUCUGUAGUUAUAUUUACAUACUUGUUCAGUUGGGUACCUGAAUAGAUCGAUUGAUGGGGUUGGAAUGAUUUUUAUAUUAGUACAUUGAUAUUUGCAUAUUUAUAGCGGAAUUUGAUAUGUGUGUAUUAUAGAUGUCUCAUUAUAUCUCACAUGAAAUAUUUAAUAUAUAUUUACAUCUGUAUGUUUUUAUGAUUUUAUAUACUUAUAUUUCAGUAUGUAUGGAAUUGUAUAGCUCUAGAAUUCUAUUUUUUGAGUUCUGGAUCUGGGAUUCUUUAGAGAGGGAUAUCUGUAUUUCUGUAUUCAUAUAUGGGCCAUACAGUUGUAGAAUUAUGUAAUAAAUUAAAUUGUUAAACUUCAGUUGAUAUUUGUGUGUAGUGAGUGGUAGUAGAGGGUUCCAGUAAAUUAUUUUUUUUUAACUGAAGUGGGUAUUUGUAUCUAUUUACAUAGCAUGAUUGUAACAAUAAAUUAGGUUUGUAAACUUCAGUUGAUAGUUUUAUGUUCAUGUAUUGGCAGUAAUUUAAAAUAAAUGUCAUUUUUAAACUGAA